Long non-coding RNA from Passer domesticus (house sparrow), 1637 nucleotides. RefSeq lists it as uncharacterized. Lineage: Eukaryota; Metazoa; Chordata; Aves; Passeriformes; Passeridae. The transcript is spliced from 3 exons. The record is from RefSeq and is a predicted model, not a curated record.
UACACAGAUUUUCUCUUUCAUGCAGCCAUUUCCCUCCAUGGCUGGAGCUAAUCUGAGUGGAGGCUGCCAUGACCCUGCCAGGCUCCUGCCCUUGGUGGCAUCUUCCUGCUUGCCCCUGUGCCAGUGCUGGCUGAGCUAAUUCAGGGAAAAAUAACCUUGCAAAUGUGAUUUGUGAUGGGCCAAAUCAGCCCCAUGUGAUGGCUGUUUGCAUGGCCAGAGACAUGGGAAGGGGCUGGGAAGGCAGGUCCUGCCUUGGCAGAGUUAGAGGGGUUUAAAUUGCAGAACUGACUGCAUGGGGUUGAGGAGAAAGGGGAAAAAAUUAAUCCACAAAUCCCUGGAGUUGGCUGGCAUUGAUCCAAGCAGUCCCUGACCAGAGUCCAGCAUCCACUGCCUGUGAGCUGAGGCUGCUUCAGCUGCUGAAUGACAUGCACCUGGCUUGAAGGUCCUCCUUGAACAAGUCCUGGCUGAAUCCAGACCAUUGCAGGCUGUGAUUGGGAUCAGCUCCUCAAGCUGUUCCACACAGGGUUGCUUCUGAGUGACACUCGGAGAAGCUGCAGCUGAACAGUGCCAGGUGGUGUAACAAGAGGAAAUCUCCACACUGGUCUGUGUCCCUCUGCCUUUGCUGGCUGGGAAGAAGUGCCUCUGGCAGGGUCUGCAUUGCUGAAGGCUGUGGCACAGAGCAAGACCUGGAAGUGAAAGCCCCACUCAGCAUCUGGGCUGCCAGCCUUUGCAACACUGCUUCUGCCCUGGGAAUCACUCCUGACCCCUGGCAAGGGAAAAGCCCAAAGGUAUUUGUGAUUCCCUGGAGUUUUUGUAAUGUUUCCUCCUCAGCUGAUGUUACAGUGAAAAAAUUUUGGGGUGAAGUCAGUGUUUCUUCAGCCCCACCCUGCUGCCUUCUCUGCUGGUGUUGUCUCUUCUUUUUUGGGAUGGAUGUGCUGUGAAAUCAGCCUGUACCUCAGAACACCCCUUCUGCCACUGCCAGGGACCAGCACCUCAGCCUGCCCAGGUGUCUGUGCCUUUCCUGCUGGCCCAGGGCUGCUCUGGGGGCUGCAGGUGCCUUCCUCAGCCCUGCUGCACCUGGGCAGAGCCUGGAGGGGCAGUGGGGAUGCAGCAGGAUGUCAGAGCCCAGGACAUCCCUCUGACUGCCCUGGAUGAUUUGAGAUCCUGGCAAGGGGCUCAGAGACCUUGGCAUGGAGUCAAAAACACCUGUGCCUUUGAUUUUAGUCCAUGGAAAAAACUACCAACUGUGUAUGAAGAUGUACAUGCCACAAGAGUUUAAGUAGAAUGAUGGUUAAUUUGUCACAGGGUGAAAAGUAGAAUUUUGGGGUUUUAGAAUGGGGGUUCAGGAGGCAAGAUGGAGGAAUCUGGGUGUGUCCUGUCCUUUCUUCUCCCUCUUCUUGCCCUCCAUCUUCUGCUGUGAUGGUGACACUUUUGGAUUGGUUUAGAGUGGAGACAGACUGUCUAACAUAGGUGAUAGGUAUUGGAAAAUUAUUGUAAAUAAAGUACAGGCAGUUUUUUGUAUAAAAUAUUAACACCACCCCAAGGGUGGGCAGUGUGCCACAACCCAACCUGCUGGACAGACCUCAGCUGGUCAGGGAUAGAAAGUAUUAGACAAGAGAAAAUAAACAACCUUGAAA